RNAcentral lists this ribosomal RNA (696 nucleotides) under uncultured Pseudomonadota bacterium. Its description in RNAcentral is "bacterial SSU rRNA". It matches the Rfam family "Bacterial small subunit ribosomal RNA", at positions 28 to 732 of the family's 1533-position model. The record is from RNAcentral. Lineage: Bacteria; Pseudomonadati; Pseudomonadota.
AUUGAACGCUGGCGGAAUGCCUAACACAUGCAAGUCGAGCGGGGUAGCAAUAUCCAGCGGCGGACGGGUGAGGAAUACAUAGGAAUCUGCCUUUAGGUGGGGGAUAGCUUGGGGAAACUCAAGGUAAUACCGCAUGAUCUCGCAAGAGCAAAGUGGGGGACCGCAAGGCCUCACGCCUUUAGAGGAGCCUAUGUCUGAUUAGCUAGUUGGUGAGGUAAUGGCUCACCAAGGCGACGAUCAGUAACUGGUCUGAGAGGACGAUCAGUCACACCGGAACUGAGACACGGUCCGGACUCCUACGGGAGGCAGCAGUGGGGAAUAUUGGACAAUGGGCGAAAGCCUGAUCCAGCAAUUCCGCGUGUGUGAAGAAGGCCUUCGGGUUGUAAAGCACUUUAGGUUGGGAAGAAAAAACUUCUCCUAAUACGAGAAGCGUUGACGGUACCAACAGAAUAAGCACCGGCUAACUCUGUGCCAGCAGCCGCGGUAAUACAGAGGGUGCAAGCGUUAAUCGGAUUUACUGGGCGUAAAGCGUGCGUAGGUGGUUUCGUAAGUCGGAUGUGAAAGCCCCGGGCUCAACCUGGGAACUGCAUUCGAUACUGCGAGACUCGAGUUUGGUAGAGGGUGGCGGAAUUCCCGGUGUAGCGGUGAAAUGCGUAGAUAUCGGGAGGAACAUCAAUGGCGAAGGCAGCCACCUGG